UUUCAUGCUAAGCUGAGACUACCAUCCAACCCUCCAGACACGGGCUCGAUUUCAGCCCCAAUUCUGUCCAACAGUGUGGCGUUGCAUAGGGUUGGGGAUCAGCAGAGUCAUCGCCGGCAUUUGGAAAGGAUGGAUUUCUUCCACAUCAUCACGGAGACAGGCAAUGGAUGGGGGAAUGUACCGGUAUAUGCCACCUCCUGCUCCCAAUUCCAUUUAUUCUUCCACUCGAAUCUCUAUUUGAUGGCAUCAUUUCGACAAUAUGCAAAUCUCAUUUCCCUCAGACGCAUUGCAGAGACCACAAGCUGCGGCUGAUAUCCAGAUGGCCAUUAAAACCAUUGCUCUGGUACCUUGCCCCACCUCCGACCAUCCUCCUGGUGGCACACCUCCUGGCUGAUCCACAUCCACAUCCACCUCCACUGCUCUGCCCAGCAAGACAACAAAUUACAAAAAUUAAGAGACCAUUUUUGUGGAUGAAAUGUAUGGGACCGGAGGGUCCGUCCAAUGGCGGUCCGCUACGCACGGCAGGCGACACAAGUGGCCAAGGUCCUGCACACUGGCAGAAUGAGAGAGGUGUGAACAUGGCUGGCCACCCCCUGCACCCAGUCACUCACCGACAGAGGGGAGGCGUGUGCAAAUUAAUGAAAUUAAAUCGUCUUCAUUUGAUGGCUUUCAGAGCAAAGAAGAGAGGUUCACUCCCUGCAGGUUCACUCACAGCAAAUUUCCCCUUGUAGGAUUGGGGAAUGGAGAGAAAUCGAGAGAAUGUGUGGGAGAUAGGAAGAAGCAAGGCGGAGAAAGUUGCCUUGAACUUACCUCGUAUUGAAAUUGAAUUAAAGAAAGAAAUGAUUAAUAGAAAUACAAGGUACGAAAAAAUGUUAAAAGAUAUAAAUGAAAGAACAUGUUAAGCGAAUAUGAGAUGGAAAAAGAUGAAGAGCAGAUGUACGGAAAGAACAGGCUUUACCAAAUGGAACCAUGGCAAAAAAAAACUGAUACGAGCGGCGCCCGAACAUUUCCACAUACUUUCUCUCUCUCGAAAAUACCCGAUAUAGUAGUCCUUACUUUUCAACUUCAAUCGAUUCGAGCUGUCAAGUGCUAGGUGGGGGUUUAAAUCAACAGAAUUCAGUCUUGUCGAUAAGUUCCCUCAGAAAACAUAGAAUCAAACGUGUCUACCAAAUGCAAGAUUUCUUGGGUGAAAACACUUGGGUUCUAGAACUGGAAUAAAACACAAUUACAGACUAUUUUUUCGAAACUGAAUACUGGAUAGUGGACUACGACAAUGGUCGGACAAAAUCGAUGCGGACUCGGAAAUGUACUUGGACCAUUCUUUGACACUUAUUUGGCUUUGAAAUGUGGAGUAGGCCCACUGGCACUACCAUGAUAGGAAAAAGCGGGUAGAACUCUACCUCUAUCGUGUUGUGGAAAAUAACUCAAUACGCUGUCAGACAUAACCACAUAUAUAAGUAAAUUAAACCAAAUAUCA
This 1477-nucleotide small RNA is filed under the name Drosophila pseudoobscura pseudoobscura. RNAcentral describes it as "GA31822". Lineage: Eukaryota; Metazoa; Arthropoda; Insecta; Diptera; Drosophilidae. The record is from RNAcentral.